AUGUGCAAUAACCAGAAGCGGUUGAGCUUGGAGGCUUCAGGCCCAAGCGCAGGAUUAAGGGCCAAAGGGGGUGUAUCUGACCCGCGGGAGGUGCAACGGCCGAAUGGAACCUUAUACAAAUUGUUAAAAGGGACCCCUGUUGUGAAUGUGGUUCCGUUAGUGAUGUUUUACCCGCUAUAGUUAUCUUGGAACCGACCCUGUCAUAAACCCGAAGGACGAAAUAGAACUUGCAGGGUAAAAGUUAUCUUGCUAUGAAUUGAAGUUGUCCACAAGUUGAAUUGGUUUGAAGAUUGGUUGGUGGGUUAACUAGAAGAGUCGUUUCAAAUGGAUGAUGCAGGUUUGAAGUUUGCGAACGGCCAUUGGAUUAAGGUAGUUCAUGGAAGGGAAACUAACUUGGUCUUUGAAUGACAAUGGAUGUCGUGGAAAUUAUUUUAGCAUGUUAGGACUUACUUGGAUUUAGUCUCCCUAUAAUUUUUGUGACUCUUGAGAUGGAUUGACAUUGUUUUAAAUGUAUGGUUUACGUAUUGGCAUAAAGUGUUGUAAUGCAAUUUUCGGUUCAAAUGCAAAUGUAUUUGGAAUUAGAAUGGAGUUAGAGUUGUAAUAGCGAAAUGGUGUUUGGAAUUUUAAUGUUAGGUUUGAAAUCGUAAAGAAUUUGGUUUUGAAAAUUUGUAAUGGAAUGUUAGGUUUGAAAUCGUAAAGAAUUUGGUUUUGAAAAUUUGUAAUGGAAUGUAAUGCAUUAAAGGUUUA
Long non-coding RNA from Lathyrus oleraceus (garden pea), 747 nucleotides. RefSeq lists it as uncharacterized. The record is from RefSeq and is a predicted model, not a curated record. NCBI's taxonomy places the organism in Eukaryota, Viridiplantae, Streptophyta, Magnoliopsida, Fabales, Fabaceae. The transcript has 4 exons.